This is a long non-coding RNA of Aquila chrysaetos chrysaetos, 247 nucleotides long. RefSeq lists it as uncharacterized. The transcript is spliced from 3 exons. NCBI's taxonomy places the organism in Eukaryota, Metazoa, Chordata, Aves, Accipitriformes, Accipitridae. The record is from RefSeq and is a predicted model, not a curated record.
GCAAUAAAGAAACAUUGAGGGCUGAUUUAACAAUCCUCUGGGAUGGAUCUUGUCACCAGGAGCUGUCAUGAAUUGGAUGUGUUUCCCCAGAGUGUUAAAUAUGGCUGAAUGUUGAACUUAGAGCUGCACGGUAUGUUGGAGGGGGUCUUGAUGGCCUGUGACCUUGCCUUUAUCUGUCGGUCUGUCACCACUGGUCUUCAAAGUGCAGCUUAAAGGAUCUGAGGCUUCUGUGUGGCCUUGAUGUGAU